Molecule: ribosomal RNA, 40 nt
Filed under: Leiocassis longirostris (Chinese longsnout catfish)
Lineage: Eukaryota; Metazoa; Chordata; Actinopteri; Siluriformes; Bagridae
Description: partial 18S ribosomal RNA
Source: RNAcentral
UCGUAACAAGGUUUCCGAGGUGAACCUGCGGAAGGAUCAU